UACUAAGAACUGUGCACACACUACCGUGCACGAAUCUAUCGAACACAAAGCAGGAUAAAUCUCCCCUACUACCUAUAGAAAUACCAAAUCCCCUCGAGUGCAUCAGUACAAUCAACAUGUGGAAGCUGGGGUGGCAGACGACAUUCCUUUUAUACAGCUGGAUAUACUGUAUACUCAAGAAAUUCAGCAUGCAUAGUGUGACAAGACAUUCCUUUUAUACAGCUGGAUAUACUGUAUACUCAAGAAAUUCAGCAUGCAUAGUGUGACAAGGUAGGAAGUCGCGUCAGUAACUCCGCCCCCUUACCUGCAUGGUAACCCGUAUAUUGCAUGCCAAGAACAAUAGUCAUGCCAGCGUCCUUUUUGGAAGAAUGGCGUGGCGCUGGCGCAGAUGAAGGGAUAAAGUAGGUGCCAACACGAAAUCCACGAAAGUGUAACGCAUCGUUUGACCGGUAUGUUUUAAAUAUGCUACUAUUUUAUGGUAUAUUUAUUGAUUGGUGUUUGGUUCAAAUGCGCUCCUUAAACGAGGGCAAUGUUAAUGUUUCAUGUUAGAAUUAUUGGGGUCCUGUUUAUGAUUACUGUUGCUUUGUGCAUGCUGUAUGUUUGUUGCUCUCUUUAAAAGAGUAUGUAUAAUGCAUGUUUAAUUUGCGGGUUUUCCGCUCUCUUUUAAGGAGCGUGCAGGAUGAGUGAUAUGUCGUGGCAGCUAUUUCUUUAUUUACUGGCUUUUAUUCGGCCAGGAUUCACAGUUGUGUUACUUCAGUAAGUAAUUUAAUAAUGUUUUAACGUUAUUAGUAUGUAAAUGUCAUUGCCAGUGUUACAGCAGUAAUUUAAGAAUGUUUUCAUUUCAUUACUGUGUAUUGCGUUUCUUUUCCUUUCCUUUCCUUUUGUAGAACCAGUGCCGUGGUUUUAGUUUGGUUGUUCACUUAGCGAAGUUUACGCAAACUUUUAAGACGGAUGUUUCUUCAUAUAAUGGACUGCACUCUGAACUUUAGGAUCUAAUGACUUAUGGAUUGGUACCAACCUGCUGCUACAAAAUGUUUUGAAUUACUGCUUUUUGAAAACACCAACGUUUUUAAUCUUCAAAUUUAUUUAUCUAUACUAAGCAUUUAAUAAUAAAGCUGUUACCUUGUAAUUCUGGCUGGUUGUGUUAUCAAUAGGGGAGGGUA
Molecule: long non-coding RNA, 1163 nt
Organism: Anguilla anguilla (European eel)
Lineage: Eukaryota; Metazoa; Chordata; Actinopteri; Anguilliformes; Anguillidae
Exons: 3
Source: RefSeq, a predicted model, not a curated record